Molecule: ribosomal RNA, 433 nt
Filed under: uncultured bacterium
Lineage: Bacteria
Description: partial 16S ribosomal RNA
Rfam family: Bacterial small subunit ribosomal RNA
Source: RNAcentral
AACGAACGCUGGCGGCAUGCCUAACACAUGCAAGUCGAACGAUGCUUUCGGGCAUAGUGGCGCACGGGUGCGUAACGCGUGGGAAUCUGCCCUUGGGUUCGGAAUAACAGUGAGAAAUUGCUGCUAAUACCGGAUGAUGUCUUCGGACCAAAGAUUUAUCGCCCAGGGAUGAGCCCGCGUAGGAUUAGCUAGUUGGUGGGGUAAUGGCCUACCAAGGCGACGAUCCUUAGCUGGUCUGAGAGGAUGAUCAGCCACACUGGGACUGGGACACGGCCCAGACUCCUACGGGAAGCAGCAGUGGGGAAUAUUGGACAAUGGGCGCAAGCCUGAUCCAGCAAUGCCGCGUGAGUGAUGAAGGCCUUAGGGUUGUAAAGCUCUUUUACCCGGGAUGAUAAUGACAGUACCGGGAGAAUAAGCUCCGGCUAACUCCGUG